This 22-nucleotide non-coding RNA is filed under the name Arabidopsis thaliana (thale cress). Lineage: Eukaryota; Viridiplantae; Streptophyta; Magnoliopsida; Brassicales; Brassicaceae. The record is from RNAcentral.
AGAAUCUUGAUGAUGCUGCAGC